Molecule: ribosomal RNA, 497 nt
Filed under: uncultured bacterium
Lineage: Bacteria
Description: partial 16S ribosomal RNA
Rfam family: Bacterial small subunit ribosomal RNA
Source: RNAcentral
GAUGAACGCUGGCGGCGUGCCUAAUACAUGCAAGUCGAGCGAACGGACGAGAAGCUUGCUUCUCUGAUGUUAGCGGCGGACGGGUGAGUAACACGUGGAUAACCUACCUAUAAGACUGGGAUAACUUCGGGAAACCGGAGCUAAUACCGGAUAAUAUUUUGAACCGCAUGGUUCAAAAGUGAAAGACGGUCUUGCUGUCACUUGUAGAUGGAUCCGCGCUGCAUUAGCUAGUUGGUAAGGUAACGGCUUACCAAGGCAACGAUGCAUAGCCGACCUGAGAGAGUGAUCGGCCACACUGGAACUGAGACACGGUCCAGACUCCUACGGGAGGCAGCAGUAGGGAAUCUUCCGCAAUGGGCGAAAGCCUGACGGAGCAACGCCGCGUGAGUGAUGAAGGUCUUCGGAUCGUAAAACUCUGUUAUUAGGGAAGAACAUAUGUGUAAGUAACUGUGCACAUCUUGACGGUACCUAAUCAGAAAGCCACAGCUAACUACGUG